ACCUGGCUGGCUCAAUUGGUGGAGCAUGAAACUCUUGAUCUCAGGGUCAUGGGUUCAAGCCCCACAUUGGGUG
RNAcentral lists this transfer RNA (73 nucleotides) under Canis lupus familiaris (dog). It matches the Rfam family "tRNA". Rfam says of the family: Transfer RNA (tRNA) molecules are approximately 80 nucleotides in length. The record is from Rfam by way of RNAcentral. Lineage: Eukaryota; Metazoa; Chordata; Mammalia; Carnivora; Canidae.